GAUGAACGCUAGCUACAGGCUUAACACAUGCAAGUCGAGGGGUAACGAGAGGAAAGCUUGCUUUCCUUGUCGACGACCGGCGCACGGGUGAGUAACGCGUAUCCAACCUGCCCCCAACUAGGGAAUAACCUUGCGAAAGUAAGACUAAUACCCUAUAAUUUCCUCAGAUGUCAUCUGACGAGGAAUAAAGAUUUAUCGGUUGUGGAUGGGGAUGCGUCUGAUUAGCUUGUUGGCGGGGUAACGGCCCACCAAGGCAACGAUCAGUAGGGGUUCUGAGAGGAAGGUACCCCACAUUGGAACUGAGACACGGUCCAAACUCCUACGGGAUGCAGCAGUGAGGAAUAUUGGUCAAUGGGCGGAAGCCUGAACCAGCCAAGUAGCGUGCAGGAUGACGGCCCUAUGGGUUGUAAACUGCUUUUAUACAGGAAUAAAGUUAGCCACGUGUGGUUAUUUGUAGGUACUGUAUGAAUAAGGACCGGCUAAUUCCGUGCCAGCAGCCGCGGUAA
Molecule: ribosomal RNA, 506 nt
Filed under: uncultured bacterium
Lineage: Bacteria
Description: partial 16S ribosomal RNA
Rfam family: Bacterial small subunit ribosomal RNA
Source: RNAcentral